GAGCUGCAGUGGCGGGGAGUGGGGUGCGGAUCUUGUGUUUGCGCACGCAGUCGCCGGCCACCUCAGGCCGGAGCUAGAGAUACGGCUCGGGAUAGGAGGGCCCGGCGGCUCUGAGGCAGGUUCGCCUCGAGCCGCACGGCCCGGAGCAGCGGCUCCGCGGUGGUCCCCGGGGCUUGAGAGGGGUGCGGGCCUGGGAGCCCCUGAGGGCCUGAUUUACGGAACUCCCCCUCCUUCCUCCUUUCUGCCGUUCCCUGCUCUGUGGCGGAUGCGCAGGGAUCAGUAGGGACGGCAGCAGUAGGGCCACUCGGGCCUGCCCCGCUUCCCGCAUUGCCCGGUUUGGCGCGCCGCCUCCGGGCCUUGGCAAAGCCCCAGCGCCCGAUUGUCACUGACCAGUGCUUGGAAGUCCUUUACCGACUGCCCGUCAGCGUCCCGCGGAGAGGAUUUUGCGUCUCCAAAGACGCCCCUCUUCCGAAAACAGGCUCCUCUGUGUUCUCAGUCGGGUAUAUUUUUCUGUCUCCAAACUAGAUUGGCAGCCGUUUUUUGAGAGCAGGGUCUUGCUCUGUUGCCCAGACUGGAGUGCAGUGGCGCCAUCUCAGCUGACUGCAGAUUCAACCUUCUGAGCUCACGAAAUCCUCCCAUCUCAACCUCCUGAGUAGCUGGGACCACAGGAUGGCACCUGACUUGAAGAUAGCACCUGACUUGAAGAUGGCACCUGACUAGCAUUUGGACUGGUUUGCAGGCUGAGCACAGGGUUGCUCCAGGUGGGCCCAAAUGCUGAAGAGCCUCAUGUUAGAGUUUUUCACCUCUGCGAUGGAACUGUGGUGGACUCCAGUAUCAUCAUUCCAGGGAGGCAUAGCCGCACCAACUGUGUUCCCAGGUUUCACAUGGAGAAGGGUUUUAGAAAGUGCAGAUAGCCUUGAAACCAUUGGUUUCCUACCACUGUUUAUUUCAGCAUAACUUUUUUUGUGUGGAAUGCUAGCUCUGGAAGAGCAGAAAUAAAUACAGCUUAAGCUUUGAAC
Molecule: long non-coding RNA, 1019 nt
Filed under: Homo sapiens (human)
Lineage: Eukaryota; Metazoa; Chordata; Mammalia; Primates; Hominidae
Description: HSALNT0258477
Source: RNAcentral